Molecule: long non-coding RNA, 1126 nt
Organism: Capsicum annuum
Lineage: Eukaryota; Viridiplantae; Streptophyta; Magnoliopsida; Solanales; Solanaceae
Exons: 3
Source: RefSeq, a predicted model, not a curated record
UCGUGGAUUACAAAUAAGGAAAAACUAAUCGUCUACAUUUGAAGUGGUCUAUCGUGUACAUCUGCAAUUUCUAAGGGCUUGUCCGAUUAAUAUGUAACUCCCAAGUGAAAAUAGAAAUGUUAAAACAUGUGUAAUCUUAAACUGUUUCUUCCUGGAGUCAUUGUUUGUGAUGUUGCCUCCUUCUCUGCUUUAGACUUUCAACUAAUUAAUGUGUUCAAGAACUGAACCUCAUACUCAGAAGUCAAUAAAUCUAUGAACCCUCGAGACAUUACACAACUUAUUUAAUGAUUUAAAUGGAUCUUCCUUUCACUUAUUUUGGAUUAAACCUUCUGGUUUUGAUCCUUUGACAAAAUGGUUCUGUAUGGACGGAAGGAUACCUUCUUUUGAUUUAGGGCCACAGUGAGCUAUCCACGUACAGAAAGCACGGCAUAUCCUUCUUCUUUUGACUUCAGAGGAACACUGGUGCAUGCAUAAUCCUGUAUUUGGUGACUAUAAUAAGCCAAAGGCAGGAAACUGAUGCAGGCUAUCAUCCUCCAAUAACUCCAAUGCGUUCAGCUAAUGACGAUGCUUUGGGAAAUGGUGCAUGGAAACUGACUGUACCAGUACAUCUGCCAGCAUUUCCUGGGAACUCUCUCUCCGGAUUGCAAUUAUACAAGGUACAAGCUGGGCGGCGAUUUUUGUUUCCUACUCCUCUGGGUAUCCGCUUGAUAAGAGGGUAUCAAUGCAUAGAUUCUCAUCUCUGUUUGCCCGACAUACGAAGUUUCAUUGAGCACCAGAUCGAUUUGGUAGCUGAAGGUCAAGCAGAUCAUUCAAUAACUUGAUCAAUUGAGAAGGAAGUUCAGUUAUUUUGCUAAGCAGGUAUAAGAUUUUAAGCUUUUAUGUGAUGGCUCAUGGCGUUUUGCUGCUUUCCUUCUUACAAACUACAAACAAGCCGAUGUUCAUUAAUAAACACGAUUGAUGAUGCUUUUAUUCUUCCCUAAUCUGUAACGUGCUGAUUUUUCUUAAUUCGUAUUAUUCAAAGCUAAUUAAUUACCCAUUGAACCUCGUGGCUGGCUGGCUGGCUUCACGUAGCUAGAUUGAAAACAUGGAUGCAUUAUUUGAAGCACAAUUUUCUCCGCUCUCAGCA